UAAAGUGGCGAACGGCUGAGUAACACGUGGGCAACCUGCCCUUUGCACUGGGAUAGCCUCGGGAAACCGAGGUUAAUACCGGAUACUCCAUAUUUGUCGCAUGGCGAAUAUGGGAAAGCUCCGGCGGCAAAGGAUGGGCCCGCGGCCUGUUAGCUAGUUGGUGGGGUAGUGGCCUACCAAGGCAAUGAUGGGUAGCCGGGCUGAGAGACCGACCGGCCAGAUUGGGACUGAGACACGGCCCAGACUCCUACGGGAGGCAGCAGGU
RNAcentral lists this ribosomal RNA (265 nucleotides) under uncultured Atopobium sp. RNAcentral's name for it is "partial 16S ribosomal RNA". It matches the Rfam family "Bacterial small subunit ribosomal RNA", at positions 91 to 354 of the family's 1533-position model. The record is from RNAcentral. Lineage: Bacteria; Bacillati; Actinomycetota; Coriobacteriia; Coriobacteriales; Atopobiaceae.